RNA transcript from Wasmannia auropunctata (little fire ant), 2788 nucleotides. It is a transcript of the gene named tuftelin-interacting protein 11-like, with no coding region annotated. The transcript is spliced from 8 exons. The record is from RefSeq and is a predicted model, not a curated record. NCBI's taxonomy places the organism in Eukaryota, Metazoa, Arthropoda, Insecta, Hymenoptera, Formicidae.
UCUUGUCGUUCUAGUUUUUCAAAAGCUAUCGAAGUGAACAGUACAUUUUGUUGGUUGCUCUGCGAAGAUUUAUUAUAUUUGAUUAAGUGGAAUUACACACACACACACACACACACACACAUAUAUAUAUAGAGCAAUUAAAACAAGAGAGAGAAAAUGAUAUGCCAAUCUCAUCGUUUACAUUUUAAGGAUAAUAAUUAUUCCUAUGUAAACAGAGUAUCCGUAAAAGAGACAGAUUAUGUUGACUUCACUUAUCAAUUUGUAAUGACUAUAUUUUUGUACCCAAAAUAAUAUUAUAAGUUUUCAAAAAUUCUCUAAACUUUAAAUAAGAAAACCAGCAAUAUGCCAGAUCCAAUUGUUGUAAAUGUUGACAUCUGGGUAAAAAGUAAUCAAAUAAUUAAUUGUGAGAGAGAUUACUGUUCAUACACGUUAACUCUAAGAUAAUUGAACAACCUGUCAAAGUUACAAAGUAUGAAGAUUUUAAACAGAGAAUUUACGGAGCAUUGCAGUCGUUUACGAAAGUCUACAAUUGCAGACGACGGGAUCGGCGUCCCAAUAAAGGACCAAAAUAUAUUGCUAAAGAAUUAUAUGAAGCCUGUUACCCCAUCAAAAUGUCUCUUUUUUAUUCGAAUGAGCAAGGUUGUACUAACGAAUUCUAUGGAUUUAAGCGACUUUGGGCACACAAAUCUGAUAACCAAUGGGUUCUUUUAUCGGAUUCUUCUUCGAAUAUUUUUGACAUACCACGAGGAACUGUUCCGGUUUUACAGUCGUGCAGUUUUAAAACGAAACUGCUUAAAUUAGAAUUUUGGAAUAACUCUAUAUUAAACUCAGAGAUAAAUGGUGCAGCAAUUAUGCUUAUUGGUAGAGAUCCACAUUUGGAUAUACUCCACCUUCAAGAAAACUUUGACGAAUAUUGUAUCAUUUUUAAAAGAUAUUAUAAUUGUUGCUCAAUAUUCAAUCUUUUCUUAUUCUCUUAAAACUAAAUAUAAAUUUGUUUCAAUGUUAUUCGCAGCGAUGUAAUAAAGAGUUUUUAUAAAAGUGAAUUUUACUGCAAGAAAGUGUCUCAGAUGACCCCUGAAGUGCUAUCUUUUAAUCAGGGACAUAUGCAUCGAUUUUUAAAAAAUUAUUUGAAUAAUGAGAAGUGUGUGAAAGAUAUCAAACCUUCUUUAGAUGAAUCCAAAAAGCUAUCGUCUUGCAAUUUUUCUGAGCUUCCUGUAAAGUAUUUUAAAAAAUAUAUAUUUCUCAUAAUAAAUAAAUUAUUAUUUUGUGUAACAAAAAUUAUAUUUUAUUAUUGCAGGAUAAAAUAAUAGUAAAAAUAAUGAAUAAUUUAGAUAUGAUAUCAUUAAGUUGCAUGAGCAGAGUAAAUAAACGUUUCAAUGAUUUAUCAUGGGAUAGUCAGCUGUACAAAUGUUUGAAUUUCUGGAACAUAUACUUAACGUGUAUGAACAAUAAUCUCUCUCACAAUCAGUUAUUUAGAUUACUUUUUACCCAGAUGUCAACAUUUACGACAAUGGGAUCUGGCAUUUGCUGGUUUUCUUAUUCAAAGUUUAGAGAAUUUUUGAAAACUUGUUGCGAGAAUUUAACACACCUACGAUUCUGCCCUCAAUUACCCUCAGUUUCCAACAAUUCGUAAGUUUCAUCAAGUUUAAUUCUACGUGAUAUUUCAGAGAUAUGUAAAAAUUUGAAAGGUAUAUGUAUAAGUAUGACUGUUAUUAUUACGGAUAAAUUAUAUAUGACUAUAAUACAUAUAUAUUUUAGAAGCCGUUAUUACCCAAUUGGAUUUUGGAAAAUAUAUUAGACACAUUAGUGUUACCAAAAUUAACAUUGGAGGUAGAGGAAUGGAAUCCUUUAAUUGAAAUUGUACCUAUUCACACAUGGAUUCAUCCUUGGCUGCUGUUAUUACAAAAUCGUUUAGAUACUUUGAUUUAUCCAAUAAUACGUAGAAAACUUGAAUCUGCGUUAGGAGGUUGGCAUCCAUCAGAUAAAUCCGCUAAAUUAAUGCUGCAGCCUUGGGUAAAGGUGUUUGCCAAAAGAGACAUGAAAGCGUUUUUAGUCAAAAACAUUAUUCCAAAAUUGCAAAUAGCCUUGUUCGAGUUUGUGAUAAAUCCACAAGAGCACUCAGAUCAGUGGAAGUGGGUGUACGAGUGGGAGGAAUUAAUCCCUGUCAAUAUCAUGGCAGGAUUACUUGAGAAAUUCUUUUUUCCAAAAUAGUUGAGAGUUUUGGCACUUUGGCUCAAUCAUUCGCCUAAUUAUAAUGAAGUCGCAACUUGGUACGUGGAUUGGAAAAGAAUUAGGCUAAGUGACAAAUUACUAGCGGAAACAGUAAUAAAAGAGUACUUUAAAAAAGCGUUGGUCAUGAUAAAUAGGGCACACAAAAUCAAUGGGCCACAAAAUCAUCAACCUGAAACACUAGAACUUUCAUAUUUAACGAGCUUAGAUCCAACAAUAUCGCAAACGGCGCCGAUUGCGCAAUCAAGAAUGGAGAAAUUAGCAGAGGCAGUACGAACAGCCCUGCAAAUUCCGCAGAGUUUCAAAGAUUUCGUACAAAAGCAAUGCGAAAUGAGAGGUAUAUUGUUUAUGCCGAUUCCGAAUAAAUACAAGGAGGCUAAGCAAGUGUACAAAAUUGGUAGUGUUCAGGCAGUAUUUGACAGCAAUAUGAUUUGUGAUGACAGCAGAUGACUUGUUUGUAUAUAAUGGUACAAAUUGGACACCAACGGAUUUAAAUAUCAUGUUGGAUAGGGAACUUUAAUAUGUAUUGUAUUGUAAAUAUAUAUAUAGUGAUUUUUAA